RNAcentral lists this transfer RNA (82 nucleotides) under Obba rivulosa. It matches the Rfam family "tRNA". From Rfam's summary of the family: Transfer RNA (tRNA) molecules are approximately 80 nucleotides in length. Their secondary structure includes four short double-helical elements and three loops (D, anti-codon, and T loops). Further hydrogen bonds mediate the characteristic L-shaped molecular structure. tRNAs have two regions of fundamental functional importance: the anti-codon, which is responsible for specific mRNA codon recognition, and the 3' end, to which the tRNAs corresponding amino acid is attached (by aminoacyl-tRNA synthetases). tRNAs cope with the degeneracy of the genetic code in two manners: having more than one tRNA (with a specific anti-codon) for a particular amino acid; and 'wobble' base-pairing, i.e. permitting non-standard base-pairing at the 3rd anti-codon position. The record is from Rfam by way of RNAcentral. Lineage: Eukaryota; Fungi; Basidiomycota; Agaricomycetes; Polyporales; Gelatoporiaceae.
GCCCGCUUAGCUCAGUUGGUAGAGCGUGCCACUCGUAUCUUGUGAUAUGGUAAGGUCGGUUGUUCGAAUCAGCCAGUGGGCA